UCGGGAAUUUUGGGCAAUGGGCGAAAGCCUGACCCAGCAACGCCGCGUGAAGGAUGAAGUAUUUCGGUGUGUAAACUUCGAAAGAAUAGGAAGAAUAAAUGACGGUACUAUUUAUAAGGUCCGGCUAACUACGUGCCAGCAGCCGCGGUAAUACGUAGGGACCAAGCGUUGUUCGGAUUUACUGGGCGUAAAGGGCGCGUAGGCGGCUUGACAAGUCACUUGUGAAAUCUCUGGGCUUAACCCAGAACGGCCAAGUGAAACUGUCAUGCUAGAGUGCAGAAGGGGCAAUCGGAAUUCUUGGUGUAGCGGUGAAAUGCGUAGAUAUCAAGAGGAACACCUGAGGUGAAGACGGGUUGCUGGGCUGACACUGACGCUGAGGCGCGAAAGCCAGGGGAGCAAACGGGAUUAGAUACCCCAGUAGUCCCUGAGCGGGCUGGCAAGGCGCAU
This 447-nucleotide ribosomal RNA is filed under the name uncultured bacterium. RNAcentral describes it as "bacterial SSU rRNA". It matches the Rfam family "Bacterial small subunit ribosomal RNA", at positions 355 to 825 of the family's 1533-position model. The record is from RNAcentral.